This 253-nucleotide ribosomal RNA is filed under the name uncultured bacterium. RNAcentral describes it as "partial 16S ribosomal RNA". It matches the Rfam family "Bacterial small subunit ribosomal RNA", at positions 524 to 776 of the family's 1533-position model. The record is from RNAcentral.
UACGUAGGUGGCAAGCGUUAUCCGGAUUUAUUGGGCGUAAAGAGAACGCAGGCGGUCUUUUAAGUCUGAUGUGAAAGCCUUCGGCUUAACCGGAGUAGUGCAUUGGAAACUGGGAGACUUGAGUGCAGAAGAGGAGAGUGGAACUUCAUGUGUAGCGGUGAAAUGCGUAGAUAUAUGGAAGAACACCAGUGGCGAAAGCGGCUCUCUGGUCUGUAACUGACGCUGAGGUUCGAAAGCGUGGGUAGCAAACAGG